This is a transfer RNA of Ipomoea nil (Japanese morning glory), 73 nucleotides long. It matches the Rfam family "tRNA". Rfam says of the family: Transfer RNA (tRNA) molecules are approximately 80 nucleotides in length. Their secondary structure includes four short double-helical elements and three loops (D, anti-codon, and T loops). Further hydrogen bonds mediate the characteristic L-shaped molecular structure. tRNAs have two regions of fundamental functional importance: the anti-codon, which is responsible for specific mRNA codon recognition, and the 3' end, to which the tRNAs corresponding amino acid is attached (by aminoacyl-tRNA synthetases). tRNAs cope with the degeneracy of the genetic code in two manners: having more than one tRNA (with a specific anti-codon) for a particular amino acid; and 'wobble' base-pairing, i.e. permitting non-standard base-pairing at the 3rd anti-codon position. Lineage: Eukaryota; Viridiplantae; Streptophyta; Magnoliopsida; Solanales; Convolvulaceae. The record is from Rfam.
GCUCUUGUAGCUCAGUUGGUUAGAGCACCCGUUUAGUAAGCGGGAGGUCUUGAGUCAACUCUCAAUAAGGGCA